CCUACGGGAGGCUGCAGUGGGGAAUAUUGGGCAAUGGGCGCAAGCCUGACCCAGCAACGCCGCGUGAAGGAAGAAGGCUUUCGGGUUUUAAACUUCCUUUAAGAGGGAAGAGCAGAAGACGGUACCUCUUGAUUAAGCCACGGCUAACUACGUGCCAGCAGCCGCGGUAAUACGUAGGUGGCAAGCGUUGUCCGGAUUUACUGGGUGUAAAGGGCGUGCAGCCGGGAAGACAAGUCAGAUGUGAAAUCCCGCGGCUCAACCGCGGAACUGCAGUUGAAACUGUUUUUCUUGAGUACCGGAGAGGUCAUCGGAAUUCCUUGUGUAGCGGUGAAAUGCGUAGAUAUAAGGAAGAACCCCGAUUGCGAAGGCAGCAUGCCGGCUUCCGACUGACGCUGAAGCACGAAAGCGUGGGGAUCGAACAGGAUUAGAUACCCGGGUAGUC
This 442-nucleotide ribosomal RNA is filed under the name uncultured bacterium. Its description in RNAcentral is "partial 16S ribosomal RNA". It matches the Rfam family "Bacterial small subunit ribosomal RNA", at positions 338 to 795 of the family's 1533-position model. The record is from RNAcentral.